UUCCUGUCUACCUUCCCCAGAAGGCAUCAGGCCCCACUCGGAGGGACUCCUAGGUAGACAUUACUGAAGGCAGUCAGGUUCUGAUGGAACGGCGGAGCAGAGCCUUGGGAUGCAUCGAGCAGAGGGGCAGGCGGUGCGCUGUCCGGGCGCUGCCUGGCCUUAUCGGUCACCAGUCCUGUCCCAAGAGCCAUCAGUUCCCGCGGCCCUCAUCUAUCUUUCUCAAGGGCGCCUUGUGGAAACUAAUUACCUUGUCACAAUACAGGAGGGGAGGGACACUGAAGUACCACGAGUUCUCACAGAGCACGGAAGGACAGCACACAAUUCACAAGGUCAUGUGGAGGACUCGUCAUUGCACUUACAACUGUAAACUUGUUUGACUGUACAGCACUCUUUCCCCCCUCAAAUAAAGAAGGAGAGAAGGAAAAAAGAAAAGAAAGGGAGAGAGGGAAGAGGGAAGAAGGAAAAGCAAAAACAAGACAGGGAUGCUAGAGGAAAAGGUGUUUGUGGCCACCACUCUCCAGGCUACUUGGAGAAGGAGCUGAUUUGACCCCAGAGGCUAAAUGAGGCAGACACACACACACACACACACACACACACACACACACACACAUUUACAUGCAUCCACAUGAUAUCUCAUGACUUCCAUGGCUCUCUAGUACUACCUCAGUGCACAUGGCAGCAGGGCACUGACAUCUAGGGAGACAGAUGGCAUCUCCAAGGAGUUUAAGUUGAUUAGGCCUGUUCCUUUGACUUUGUCUGAGUCCAUGACAACCAGUAUUUACAGCAUGGGUAGGGGAAGGGAGGAGGGGAGGGUCCAAUAGGGUGAGAUUGCACUGUCCUGGAAAACUCCCUACAGGUUCCAGGGGACAGGCCAGAGUUGCUGCCACUUCUGCUCUUUCACUGCGGGCCCUGAGAUCACAUGCUCUGUCCAAGGCCUGAGAGAAUGGUAGUGGGGGAAGGGCUGUCACUAUUAAAUGAGUGCAUGGGCCCUCCAGUGGACAAAAGAGAGAGUGCCCUUGUUCAUGACACUUGGAGGGAGAACUAGAGAAGGCCUGGACUGCAUCCUGGAGACCUCUAGUCCAUUAGGAAAGUGCAUAUUGCUCUCCACUUCCCAAGCACCAAACGCUAGUCCCUCAGCCUCUGGCUGCAUUGCCCCUAGAGGCACAGCUGCAUCCACAUAAGGGCCAGGACUGCCAUGAUCCAGAGGGCUGCUGCAGCCUUCAGUUUCUUCAUAGAGCAAUGAUUUGUCCUGUGGGUUCGGUGAGGGAUGGGGAGUGGCAGAUGUCAGAAAUUUUUUGUUUUGGGGUUUUUUUUUUCGUAUCGAGGAUCAAUUGUCAGAAGUUUUAAACUCAGAAGGUUUGGCCAAAAAGGAAAUCUGCUGAAAAGUCAAUACUUGAAAGCCUGACAUGCAGCCUGCUAGAGGCUGACCUGCUGGCAUCUCCCUGCCUACAUUCUACUCCAAGUCCCAUCCCCUGGCCACCAUUAGUGACACCAAAGCAAAUAUUCAUUCAGGCCAUCCCACACAGACCUUGGGUAGGUAGGGAAACUAGAUGAUGGCCUCCCUCAGCCCUUGCUCAGAAGGCCUCAUACACCCUAGGCCUGAUCUCUAUCUAGAGAUGAGGCAUUUGUCUGAUGGAAUAGGGGAGGCCAAAUCCCAGGACACCAGGUCCAACAAGGAGGUUGGAAACUUCCUGUCUUAUCUAGAGCUGCCAGAGGUGUCCAGGAUCCCUUUCUUAAGGGGUGUAUAGGCCUUAUAGAAAAGCAUGAGAAAUGUGGACCCCUGAGAAAUGCAUGGUGCAAACCAGAGCACUCUGGAGGAAGGUCAGGCCUUGAGGGUUAGGCAGCUACUGUCAGAGCCUCUCCUGGCCCCACAGUGGAGAAGCUGAUGACAGUAGGUACUUGGGUAGGGAAGUCCCAGGGAUGGAUGAUGAAAGAGUCACACAGAACCUGAGUAAGUUCUGCUAUUGAGAAGCUUCCCAAGAAGCUCAGCUUAAAGCCACUGUUUAUGUGAACAGUUUACCUGCUCCAGAUGACACUGUCAGUCAAAGACAAGCACCACAAAUCCAGCUCUUCCCAAGUGCCUUUUUACCACAAAGGAGAAGCAUGAAUCAGGUUUAGUCAGGACCUGGGGUGCCUAGGACACAGCCUGGCUCUGCCUUUGGCCUCUGCCUCUCUGGUCAAGGAUGCAGUCCAGCUCUGUCUUAAGCAGGGUCCCACUGGGAAGGAAUACCCAGAUGCCUCUGGCUGAGGGCUGGAGUAGGAGGGGGAAAUGGUGUACAGAUAUAAAUCAUACAGCAAACCUUCAGAACUUUCAUACACAUGCAUCCUAUGCAGGCUCCUACCAUUGUGUCUACAUCAGGGUUUCCUGUUUUACCUUUUAUCUUGAACAG
RNAcentral lists this long non-coding RNA (2390 nucleotides) under Heterocephalus glaber (naked mole-rat). RNAcentral describes it as "lncRNA (ENSHGLG00000042383.1)". Lineage: Eukaryota; Metazoa; Chordata; Mammalia; Rodentia; Bathyergidae. The record is from RNAcentral.